Molecule: transfer RNA, 57 nt
Filed under: Lycosa grahami
Lineage: Eukaryota; Metazoa; Arthropoda; Arachnida; Araneae; Lycosidae
Description: tRNA-Cys
Source: RNAcentral
AUAAUAAUAGUUUUAAAACAUUAAAUUGCAAAUUUAAAAUAAAGAUAAUUAAGAAAU